AACAAUUUUGAGUUUUGGGGACUAUGCUCUUACUGAUAGAUAACCACAAUAUAGACGGAUUUUCUGUGUACUUGACGACAAUAACCUAUGGUUCAAAAGUUAGAGGGGGAUACAUUUUUUUUUCUUUCGGAGCGUUUAUCUCCGAAUAUAUUCACUUUAUCAAAAAAUGUUUGUUGAAGACCCAUAUUAGUUUUGAGAGACCUUUCCAACGAUAUCCCACAGUAGGGUAGUAGCUAAAAAAAAUUCACCCCCACUUUACGUGUAGGGGAGGUACCCUAAAAAAAAUUAAAUUUUUAGAUUUUAUUGUACGACUUUCUCGGCGUUAUUGAUUUAUAUAUCCAUGCCAAUUUUCAGCUUUCUAGCACUAACGACCACGGAGCAAAGCCUCGGACAGACAGACAGACAGACAGACGGACAUGGCGAAACUAUAAGGGUUCCUAGUUGACAACGGAACCCUAAAAACGCAUUUUUUUUAUCGUAAUAUACCUUAUAGAAAUGGUUGUUAACUUAGUGGAUACGUACUUUAUUACGUCAAAUUACGUUUGUUUAAAUCAGAAUUUAUUCAUGACUCACAUGUGAGUCACUGGCCCUGCGGAACUGUUUGAGCAUGACCCAUAUGCUGCGUCGCUGGCCCUGAAUAGGUUAA
This is a long non-coding RNA of Cydia pomonella (codling moth), 646 nucleotides long. RefSeq lists it as uncharacterized. NCBI's taxonomy places the organism in Eukaryota, Metazoa, Arthropoda, Insecta, Lepidoptera, Tortricidae. The record is from RefSeq and is a predicted model, not a curated record. The transcript is spliced from 2 exons.